CUGCUUGUUUCUCCCCUUUUGAAUUUGGAUGAUCUAACAAAUGUUUUCUUCUUAGUCCUUCCGGUUUCAGUUUUGGGUCUAGGCCUGCUGACCUUAUCCAUCAGUGCAGAGAGUGCUGUCUGUCCUAGUGGAACAGCUAAUGCCAUUAAGAAAGCACUAGGGCCUGUUCCCAGCAGCAAUGAUAUACCAAUGGCGGGAACCAUCCAACCAAAAGCUCUAAUCACCUUGAAAAUCCAGAAGUCAUCCUC
Molecule: unclassified non-coding RNA, 248 nt
Filed under: Hevea brasiliensis (rubber tree)
Lineage: Eukaryota; Viridiplantae; Streptophyta; Magnoliopsida; Malpighiales; Euphorbiaceae
Source: RNAcentral